This 253-nucleotide ribosomal RNA is filed under the name uncultured bacterium. Its description in RNAcentral is "partial 16S ribosomal RNA". It matches the Rfam family "Bacterial small subunit ribosomal RNA", at positions 524 to 776 of the family's 1533-position model. The record is from RNAcentral.
CACGUAGGGUGCGAGCGUUGUCCGGAAUUACUGGGCGUAAAGGGCGCGUAGGCGGCCUUCUAAGUCGGACGUGAAAUCCCUCGGCUUAACCGAGGAACUGCGUCCGAUACUGAAAGGCUUGAAUCCGGGAGAGGGAUGUGGAAUUCCAGGUGUAGCGGUGAAAUGCGUAGAUAUCUGGAGGAACACCGGUGGCGAAGGCGGCAUCCUGGACCGGUAUUGACGCUGAGGCGCGAAAGCUAGGGGAGCAAACGGG